CUAACCAUAGGCCAUGAGUCUGGUCUGGGGACACUGUCAGGUGGGCAGUUUGACUGGGGCGGGCGCCUCCCAAAAGGUAACGGAUGCGCUCAAAGGUUCUCUCAGUACGGUCGGAAAUCGUACGUAGGGUGUAAAGGCAAAAGAGAGCUUGAUUGCAAGACAUACAGGUCGAGCAAGGAUGAAAAUCGGACUUAGUGAUCCGGUGGUUCUGCGUGGAAGGGCCA
RNAcentral lists this ribosomal RNA (224 nucleotides) under Clostridioides difficile. Its description in RNAcentral is "partial 23S ribosomal RNA". It matches the Rfam family "Bacterial large subunit ribosomal RNA", at positions 2222 to 2444 of the family's 2925-position model. Lineage: Bacteria; Bacillati; Bacillota; Clostridia; Peptostreptococcales; Peptostreptococcaceae. The record is from RNAcentral.